RNAcentral lists this ribosomal RNA (1483 nucleotides) under uncultured bacterium. Its description in RNAcentral is "bacterial SSU rRNA". It matches the Rfam family "Bacterial small subunit ribosomal RNA". The record is from RNAcentral.
GAGAGUUUGAUCCUGGCUCAGGACGAACGCUGGCGGCGCGCCUAACACAUGCAAGUCGAACGGAGCUGAGAGGAGCUUGCUUUUCUUAGCUUAGUGGCGAACGGGUGAGUAACGCGUGAGUAACCUGCCCUGGAGUGGGGGACAACAGUUGGAAACGACUGCUAAUACCGCAUAAGCCCACGGCCCGGCAUCGGGCUGAGGGAAAAGGAUUUAUUCGCUUCAGGAUGGACUCGCGUCCAAUUAGCUAGUUGGUGAGGUAACGGCCCACCAAGGCGACGAUUGGUAGCCGGACUGAGAGGUUGAACGGCCACAUUGGGACUGAGACACGGCCCAGACUCCUACGGGAGGCAGCAGUGGGGGAUAUUGCACAAUGGGGGAAACCCUGAUGCAGCGACGCCGCGUGGAGGAAGAAGGUUUUCGGAUUGUAAACUCCUGUCGUUAGGGACGAUAAUGACGGUACCUAACAAGAAAGCACCGGCUAACUACGUGCCAGCAGCCGCGGUAAAACGUAGGGUGCAAGCGUUGUCCGGAAUUACUGGGUGUAAAGGGAGCGCAGGCGGACCGGCAAGUUGGAAGUGAAAACUAUGGGCUCAACCCAUAAAUUGCUUUCAAAACUGCUGGCCUUGAGUAGUGCAGAGGUAGGUGGAAUUCCCGGUGUAGCGGUGGAAUGCGUAGAUAUCGGGAGGAACACCAGUGGCGAAGGCGACCUACUGGGCACCAACUGACGCUGAGGCUCGAAAGCAUGGGUAGCAAACAGGAUUAGAUACCCUGGUAGUCCACGCGGUAAACGAUGAAUACUAGAUGUCGGGUAGCAAAGCUACUCGGUGUCGUCGCAAACGCAAUAAGUAUUCCACCUGGGGAGUACGUUCGCAAGAAUGAAACUCAAAGGAAUUGACGGGGACCCGCACAAGCGGUGGAGCAUGUGGUUUAAUUCGAAGCAACGCGAAGAACCUUACCUGCUCUUGACAUCCCAUUCGAUAGAGGGUAAUGCCUCUAGCCCUUCGGGGGAAUGGAGACAGGUGGUGCAUGGUUGUCGUCAGCUCGUGUCGUGAGAUGUUGGGUUAAGUCCCGCAACGAGCGCAACCCUUAUUGUCAGUAGCCAGCAGUGAAGCUGGGCACUCUGAUGAGACUGCCGGGGAUAACCCGGAGGAAGGUGGGGAUGACGUCAAAUCAUCAUGCCCCUUAUGAGCAGGGCUACACACGUGCUACAAUGGCGUAAACAGAGGGAAGCGAAGGAGUGAUCUGGAGCAAAUCUCAAAAAUAACGUCUCAGUUCGGAUUGUAGUCUGCAACUCGACUACAUGAAGCUGGAAUCGCUGGUAAUCGCAGAUCAGAAUGCUGCGGUGAAUACGUUCCCGGGUCUUGUACACACCGCCCGUCACACCAUGGGAGUCGGUAAUGCCCGAAGUCAGUGACUCAACCGAAAGGAGAGAGCUGCCGAAGGCAGGACUGGUAACUGGGGUGAAGUCGUAACAAGGUAGCCG